Molecule: ribosomal RNA, 253 nt
Filed under: uncultured bacterium
Lineage: Bacteria
Description: partial 16S ribosomal RNA
Rfam family: Bacterial small subunit ribosomal RNA
Source: RNAcentral
UACGUAGGGUGCAAGCGUUGCUCGGAAUCAUUGGGCGUAAAGCGCACGUAGGCGGCCUCGCAAGUCUGAUGUGAAAUCCCUCGGCUCAACCGAGGACGUGCAUCGGAAACUGCGGGGCUUGAGUACUGAAGAGGAUCGCGGAAUUCCCGGUGUAGAGGUGAAAUUCGUAGAUAUCGGGAGGAGCACCAGUGGCGAAGGCGGCGAUCUGGGCAGAUACUGACGCUGAGGUGCGAAAGCGUGGGGAGCAAACAGG